GUCUCGGUGGUGUAGUGGUAGAGCACGCGUCCCGGGAUAGGAUGAAACGCGGGUUCAACUCCCCUUGAGGCC
Non-coding RNA from Parelaphostrongylus tenuis, 72 nucleotides. Lineage: Eukaryota; Metazoa; Nematoda; Chromadorea; Rhabditida; Metastrongylidae. The record is from the annotation of a GenBank genome assembly.